UACGUAGGGUGCAAGCGUUGUCCGGAAUUAUUGGGCGUAAAGAGCUCGUAGGCGGUUUUGUUGCGUCGGCUGUGAAAUCCCGAGGCUCAACCUCGGGUCUGCAGUCGAUACGAGCAAACUAGAGUGUUGCAGGGGAGACUGGAAUUCCUGGUGUAGCGGUGAAAUGCGCAGAUAUCAGGAGGAACACCGGUGGCGAAGGCGGGUCUCUGGGCAACAACUGACG
This 223-nucleotide ribosomal RNA is filed under the name uncultured bacterium. Its description in RNAcentral is "partial 16S ribosomal RNA". It matches the Rfam family "Bacterial small subunit ribosomal RNA", at positions 524 to 745 of the family's 1533-position model. The record is from RNAcentral.